RNAcentral lists this ribosomal RNA (254 nucleotides) under uncultured bacterium. RNAcentral describes it as "partial 16S ribosomal RNA". It matches the Rfam family "Bacterial small subunit ribosomal RNA", at positions 524 to 776 of the family's 1533-position model. The record is from RNAcentral.
UACGAAGGGGGCUAGCGUUGCUCGGAAUCACUGGGCGUAAAGCGCACGUAGGCGGGUUGCCAAGUCGGGGGUGAAAUCCUGGAGCUCAACUCCAGAACUGCCUUCGAUACUGGCGAUCUUGGAGUCCGGGAGAGGUGAGUGGAACUGCGAGUGUAGAGGUGAAAUUCGUAGAUAUUCGCAAGAACACCAGUGGCGAAGGCAGCUCACUGGCCCGGUACUGACGCUGAGGUGCGAAAGCGUCGGGAGCCAACAUG